RNAcentral lists this unclassified non-coding RNA (219 nucleotides) under Fusarium sp. Its description in RNAcentral is "partial internal transcribed spacer region". Lineage: Eukaryota; Fungi; Ascomycota; Sordariomycetes; Hypocreales; Nectriaceae. The record is from RNAcentral.
AAGUCGUAACAGUUCCGUAGGUGAACCUGCGGAGGGAUCAUUAACGAGUAAGGGUCUUCCCGGCCCGAUCUCCCAACCCUUUGUCUACUCGACCAUCGUUGCUUCGGCGAGCCCGUCCUCACGGCCCGCCAGAGGACCCCUAAACUCUGUUUCUAUAUGUAACUUCUGAGUAAAACCAUAAAUAAAUCAAAACUUUCAACAACGGAUCUCUUGGUUCUG